This 500-nucleotide ribosomal RNA is filed under the name uncultured bacterium. Its description in RNAcentral is "partial 16S ribosomal RNA". It matches the Rfam family "Bacterial small subunit ribosomal RNA", at positions 30 to 523 of the family's 1533-position model. The record is from RNAcentral.
AUUGAACGCUGGCGGCAUGCUUUACACAUGCAAGUCGAACGGUAACAGGGAGCUUGCUCCGCUGACGAGUGGCGAACGGGUGAGUAAUGCGUCGGAACGUGCCGAGUAGUGGGGGAUAACGCAUCGAAAGGUGUGCUAAUACCGCAUACGUACUGAGGUAGAAAGUGGGGGACCUUCGGGCCUCACGCUAUUCGAGCGGCCGACGUCUGAUUAGCUAGUUGGUGAGGUAAAGGCUCACCAAGGCGACGAUCAGUAGCGGGUCUGAGAGGAUGAUCCGCCACACUGGGACUGAGACACGGCCCAGACUCCUGCGGGAGGCAGCAGUGGGGAAUUUUGGACAAUGGGCGCAAGCCUGAUCCAGCCAUGCCGCGUGUCUGAAGAAGGCCUUCGGGUUGUAAGGGACUUUUGUCCGGGAGCAAAUGCCUGGUGUUAAUAGCACUGGGAGCUGAGAGUACCGGAAGAAUAAGCACCGGCUAACUACGUGCCAGCCGCCGCCGUAA